AGCAGCCGCGGUAAUUCCAGCUCCAAUAGCGUAUAUUAAAGUUGUUGCAGUUAAAAAGCUCGUAGUUGAAUUUCGGGAUUGGCGCAUCGGUCGUGCCUUACGGGGUAUGAACUGGUGCAGUCAAUUUCUCACCUUCUGGAGAACCGCGAUGUCCUUAAUUGGGUGCCGCGGGGAACCAGGACCUUUACUUUGAAAAAAUUAGAGUGUUUAAAGCAGGCAUUUUUGCUUGAAUACAUUAGCAUGGAAUAAUAAAAUAGGACGGCAUGGUUCUAUUUUGUUGGUUUCUAGGACCACCGUAAUGAUUAAUAGGGAUAGUUGGGGGCAUUAGUAUUCAAUUGUCAGAGGUGAAAUUCUUGGAUUAUUGGAAGACUAACUACUGCGAAAGCAUUUGCCAAGGAUGUUUUCAUUAAUCAAGAACGAAAGUUAGGGGAUCGAAGACGAUCAGAUACCGUCGUAGUCUUAACCAUAAACUAUGCCGACUAGGAAUCAGACGAUGUUAAUUUUUUCAAUGACUCGUUUG
This 520-nucleotide ribosomal RNA is filed under the name uncultured Entrophospora. RNAcentral's name for it is "SSU rRNA". It matches the Rfam family "Eukaryotic small subunit ribosomal RNA", at positions 569 to 1082 of the family's 1831-position model. Lineage: Eukaryota; Fungi; Glomeromycota; Glomeromycetes; Entrophosporales; Entrophosporaceae. The record is from RNAcentral.